This 900-nucleotide ribosomal RNA is filed under the name alkali sediment metagenome. RNAcentral's name for it is "bacterial SSU rRNA". It matches the Rfam family "Bacterial small subunit ribosomal RNA", at positions 486 to 1520 of the family's 1533-position model. The record is from RNAcentral.
AUAAGCAUCGGCUAACUCCGUGCCAGCAGCCGCGGUAAUACGGAGGAUGCAAGCGUUAUCCGGAAUGAUUGGGCGUAAAGCGUCCGCAGGUGGCAAUUCAAGUCUGCUGUCAAAGGUCGGGGCUUAACUCCGAACAGGCAGUGGAAACUGAACAGCUAGAGUGUGGUAGGGGUAGAGGGAAUUCCCGGUGUAGCGGUGAAAUGCGUAGAGAUCGGGAAGAACACCAGUGGCGAAAGCGCUCUACUAGGUUGCAUCUGACACUGAGGGACGAAAGCUAGGGGAGCGAAUGGGAUUAGAUACCCCAGUAGUCCUAGCCGUAAACGAUGGAUACUAGGCGUUGAGAGUAUCGACCCUCUCAGUGCCGGAGCCAACGCGUUAAGUAUCCCGCCUGGGGAGUACGCGCGCAAGCGUGAAACUCAAAGGAAUUGACGGGGGCCCGCACAAGCGGUGGAGUAUGUGGUUUAAUUCGAUCGAGCGCAACCCUCGUGCCUAGUUGCCAUCAUUCGGUUGGGAACUCUAGGCAGACUGCCGGUGACAAACCGGAGGAAGGUGGGGAUGACGUCAAGUCAGCAUGCCCCUUACGCUCUGGGCUACACACGUACUACAAUGCGAUGGACAAAGGGUAGCUAGCCGGCGACGGUAUGCCAAUCUCGUAAACCAUCGCUCAGUUCAGAUCGCAGGCUGCAACUCGCCUGCGUGAAGGCGGAAUCGCUAGUAAUCGCCGGUCAGCCAUACGGCGGUGAAUACGUUCCCGGGCCUUGUACACACCGCCCGUCACACCAUGGAAGCUGGCCACGCCCGAAGUCGUUACCCUAACCUGCAAAGGAGGGGGAUGCCGAAGGCAGGGCUGGUGACUGGGGUGAAGUCGUAACAAGGUAGCCGUACCGGAAGGUGUGGCUG